CACCGUCAACUGCGAUCCCCCCAUACUGCCCUCGCUGUUCUGAGCACGCCAUAACCCCAUUGCGUCAGUCGUCGUCGUGGAGGAACCCCUUGCCCAACCAACAUACAAAACGCUAUCGCCAACGCCCUCACUACUGUGACAUAGAUAGGGUUUGCCCUGUAUGGAUCUCCCUCCCUCUCUCAAUCGGCUGCCACCGUUGUUCUUCUGGCUGUUGUUUUACUCGUGUUAUUUUCUGCUUCUUCUUGCCUGUUAGACGAAACCAACCCUUCUCGCCCUCCCUCGCGCCCCUCCCCUCCCUCCAUCCUUCGUCCCUACUCACCCCACCGCUUUCUUUUUUAAUUGUUGUUUGUCGUUCUGUUCGUGCCUUUCCUUCUUUUCCAUUCGCGUGUGUGUGUGUGUGGGGGGGGGGGGAGGACACCAGCGCACGCAUCUCAAAGCAGACAUACGCGCAUACACGCAAACCAUCCGUCAUGGCUUCCUCCACCGAACUCAUGCCGCACUCCGAGCGCGAUGGCUCCGAAGGUAGUGUACCGUAUCCUCAUCGUGUUGGGGAGACUCUCGUUUUGGAGCUCAACACGCUUUGCCGGCUGCGCGACUUCUACGAGCAGCACACCUUCGAUACACAAGGGCCGUAUGCAGACUUGUUUGCGGUUCUCCUCUCAUCAUGCAAGCACGUGAUCGAUAUCAACGUGGAACUCGUUCACCACAUCAAGGCUCAGCAAGACCAACAGCGGCGGCAGCAGGUCGCCUGUGAUGUUCUCUGUCGUGAAGCGGCACUGCAGCGUGCUGACAUCAAACACCUUCGCGCCGCCCUGGAGCAUCUGUCUGCGCGCAGAGCAAGUGGAGAAGCAUCCGUGGUCAAGUGCGAAGAUGAUGAUACUGGGCUUGGCAACGGCUCAGCAGCCUCGUCGCAUGCUUCGCCGAAAAACGAAGCAGCUACAGCAGAGUGUUGCCAGCACGUUUCCCAAAGAAGCCCCGCGGCGUCCCUGGCACCGCAGCGCAGUACAGGUGCCGCCUCCCCUUCCUCGGCUGCAGUCGGCCUUGAGCGAUCAUCGUUGUCUACAGCAUCAGCUUCUCUUGUAGGGCCCGUUUCGCAAGCGCACGCCACCGUGACCUUUGCCCCCACAGAAGCCCCAGCACAGCCAAUCAACUCGCUGACGCACUCCUCGCCUUCUGACCACGCCUGCGGGGGCGCAUGGGCAGCAGAGAUGGUGCGCCGCACGGACGCCAUGCAGGGCAGCUCGGCUACCGUACUCGUGGAUGGCCAGUUGUCUUCCGUGCGACUCGAUGAAGAGCAGCGGAAGCAGCAGCAGUCCUCUACUGCCUUGUUUGCGCCCUCUGAAGCAAGGAAGCACCACGCCGAGGACGCCGUUGAGAGCCACCUUGAGCACUUGACGCGUCACUUUGCUGCGGUGGACCCGCGCGUGCACAAACAGCGGCGAAUGUGGGGGGAGGAGGAGGACGUUGGCAGCAGGAGUCCGUCAUCAUCACCAGUAGCGGCUUCGGGAACGGCAGGCGAGAGUGAAUUUCCUCAUUCAUGUACGACUGUGGCUGGUCAUGCUCGGUCAAACCCCCAGGAGUCCAGUCAACGCCAAGGAACCUCUGUCGCCUCGCCUGUCGGCACUUGGACACCACCGGCGGUACUUGUGCGUUGGCUCGACAGUCGGCUCCGUCGAUGGAAAGCGGAGUGGAAAAGAGUGCUUGAAGACGUGCAGGACGCGCUUCUCCUUGAUGCUACCGUCGAUGCUCAGACGUUGCGUCCGAUUGCACAUGCAGCAGGUCAGCAGGAGGCACAUGUGAACCUAGGGACUGCCCACGAAAGAGCCUCCGAGAGCAACGGAGGCGCUGAAGCGGUCAUGACUCCAAGCUGCCGUGGCGACCUUGUGUGUGUCAUCCGAGCUCUUCUUUCUUCUCACGGCACGGAGCUGUACAAGCAAAUCGUCGCCGAAUCCACCCGACAAGUCCAACGCACCGAUGAAGAACUGCAUGAUUUGCGCUCCAGGCUGGAGGCACUCGAGGUAUACGCGCCGCAUCGCUACGCCGUCACUGCCCGACCGCCGCUGCUUGGAGUGGAGCUAGAGGACGUGCUCGAGCCGCGCAUCGGAGUGCGGCUGCGCACGGUGUACCAUCACUACCUCGCCGACCGCGCUGGACUCAGCGUGGGCGAUGUCCUCGUCGGCGUCGGCCACCAAUCCAUCCAGACACGCGCGCAGCUACACGUCGUGCUGGGGGAGCUGACCCGUGACUACAAUGCGCAGUGCCACAUACAGAUCGAGGAAGGCUUCAUGCGGAGUUUUGCCCUCGGUGAUCAGUGCUGCGUCAGGGACGGCCACUGCGUUGAGUGCCAUUCACCUUAUCGCGAGGCAACGGUAGAAAGAAAAGGCAAUGACUAUGGACUUGGCCAAGAACUUCAACGCGCCCGUUCAGAAGCAGCGGCAGCGGUUGCUGGAGGCACUAUCCCUAGCGACGCACGUUCGUCAGCUCGAUGGAUGUAUAUGCACUCGUCGCUUAAAGGCCGUGCAGCUAUGGCAGGCUCGUCUGCCGCCGCCUCGCCCUUCCUCUCCACAUUCCACAGUGCCGCCCAGCACAAGGAAAAGCUAGCCCAAUAUCUGCCCUACUUCGAACUGUGCCUUCACGUUGUGCGUGACGGUCGAUUGCGUGACGUGACACUUCUGAUUCCGCCAUGGGAAGCUCUUCGAUCGGCGGCGUACUAAGGUGGCUGCCGUCCUCCUCCUCCCACCCCCCCCUGCUGACUCUCCCGAGCGCGUAUGUGGUAGCGAGGUGGCGAGCAGGCGCACCGGUGCGCGCCCUCGUGAGUGCUUUUCUUUCGAGUCAAGAUACAGCGCUGUUCGUUAAAAUCGGUGAAGCAUCCGCCACCCGCUUCUGAGAGUGCCACCCGCAUCAGAAGACGGGGGAGAAAGGUGCCUCGUCAGCGAAACUCUCUCCCUGCUGCUCCGGUGCACCGCAUUCGCCGAGGCUGGCGUUGGCGCCACAAUAGACACAGGUGGAAGCACUUACACAUGCACACACACACACACCUCCUUAAAACGCAAAAUUAAAACAGGAAAACGAGAGCCAUCACUCGGCAUGUGUAGGACCUGUCUUUAUCAUCUUGUUGCUCUGCAAAUGCGCAUCAAGACAGCGAGGAGCGCGCUUGCGGCAUACCCCUCAACGACCCACCCACUCACACCCCUUCUUUCCCUUUUCUUAGACCAUUGAAAGAAGCGAAGAGAGACGCUCUCCGCCGCACGCCGACUCGUACCAUCUCUCCCUCCCCUUCCUCCUCAUCUCUCCUUGAAG
This 3300-nucleotide unclassified non-coding RNA is filed under the name Leishmania donovani. RNAcentral describes it as "gene:LdHU3.19.1700(CDS-product:hypothetical_prote in_conserved)". Lineage: Eukaryota; Euglenozoa; Kinetoplastea; Trypanosomatida; Trypanosomatidae. The record is from RNAcentral.